UGCCCACAUUGAUGAGAUCACA
This 22-nucleotide microRNA is filed under the name Monodelphis domestica (gray short-tailed opossum). RNAcentral describes it as "mdo-miR-12354-5p". The record is from miRBase by way of RNAcentral. Lineage: Eukaryota; Metazoa; Chordata; Mammalia; Didelphimorphia; Didelphidae.